GACGAACGCUGGCGGCGUGCUUAACACAUGCAAGUCGAACGAAGUGGCGAACGGGUGAGUAACGCGUAAUCAACCUGCUCUUCAGAGGGGGACAACAGUUGGAAACGACUGCUAAUACCGCAUACUGCCGUAUGGGAUUGCGUCUGAUUCGCUAGUUGGAUGGGUAACGGCACUACAAGUCGAUGAUCAGUAGCCGGUAUGAGAGGAUUAACGGCCACAUUGGGACUGAGACACGGCCCAGACUCUUACGGGAGGCAGCAGGUGGGAGUCUUCCGCAAUGGACGAAAGUCGGACGGAGCAACGCCGCGUGAGUGAUGACUGCCUUCGGGUUGUAAAGCUCUGUUAAUCGGGACGCGGUACCGGAAGAGAAAGCCACGGCUAACUACGUGCCAGCAGCCGCGGUAAUAC
Molecule: ribosomal RNA, 408 nt
Filed under: uncultured bacterium
Lineage: Bacteria
Description: partial 16S ribosomal RNA
Rfam family: Bacterial small subunit ribosomal RNA
Source: RNAcentral